AACCCCAUGCCGCGCUGCUUACACAUGCAAGUCGAACGGUGAAGCAGAGCUUGCUCUGUGGAUCAGUGGCGAACGGGUGAGUAACACGUGAGCAACCUGCCCCUGACUCUGGGAUAAGCGCUGGAAACGGCGUCUAAUACUGGAUAUGUGACGUGACCGCAUGGUCUGCGUCUGGAAAGAAUUUCGGUUGGGGAUGGGCUCGCGGCCUAUCAGCUUGUUGGUGAGGUAAUGGCUCACCAAGGCGUCGACGGGUAGCCGGCCUGAGAGGGUGACCGGCCACACUGGGACUGAGACACGGCCCAGACUCCUACGGGAGGCAGCAGUGGGGAAUAUUGCACAAUGGGCGGAAGCCUGAUGCAGCAACGCCGCGUGAGGGAUGACGGCCUUCGGGUUGUAAACCUCUUUUAGCAGGGAAGAAGCGAAAGUGACGGUACCUGCAGAAAAAGCGCCGGCUAACUACGUGCCAGCAGCCGCGGUAAUACGUAGGGCGCAAGCGUUAUCCGGAAUUAUUGGGCGUAAAGAGCUCGUAGGCGGUUUGUCGCGUCUGCUGUGAAAUCCGGAGGCUCAACCUCCGGCCUGCAGUGGGUACGGGCAGACUAGAGUGCGGUAGGGGAGAUUGGAAUUCCUGGUGUAGCGGUGGAAUGCGCAGAUAUCAGGAGGAACACCGAUGGCGAAGGCAGAUCUCUGGGCCGUAACUGACGCUGAGGAGCGAAAGGGUGGGGAGCAAACAGGCUUAGAUACCCUGGUAGUCCACCCCGUAAACGUUGGGAACUAGUUGUGGGGUCCAUUCCACGGAUUCCGUGACGCAGCUAACGCAUUAAGUUCCCCGCCUGGGGAGUACGGCCGCAAGGCUAAAACUCAAAGGAAUUGACGGGGACCCGCACAAGCGGCGGAGCAUGCGGAUUAAUUCGAUGCAACGCGAAGAACCUUACCAAGGCUUGACAUAUACGAGAACGGGCCAGAAAUGGUCAACUCUUUGGACACUCGUAAACAGGUGGUGCAUGGUUGUCGUCAGCUCGUGUCGUGAGAUGUUGGGUUAAGUCCCGCACGAGCGCACCCUCGUUCUAUGUGCCAGCACGUAAUGGUGGACUCAUGGGAUACUGCCGGGGUCAACUCGAGGAAGGUGGGGAUGACGUCAAUCAUCAUGCCCC
RNAcentral lists this ribosomal RNA (1151 nucleotides) under Microbacterium sp. RNAcentral describes it as "bacterial SSU rRNA". It matches the Rfam family "Bacterial small subunit ribosomal RNA", at positions 32 to 1201 of the family's 1533-position model. The record is from RNAcentral. Lineage: Bacteria; Bacillati; Actinomycetota; Actinomycetes; Micrococcales; Microbacteriaceae.